Molecule: ribosomal RNA, 468 nt
Filed under: uncultured bacterium
Lineage: Bacteria
Description: partial 16S ribosomal RNA
Rfam family: Bacterial small subunit ribosomal RNA
Source: RNAcentral
GACGAACGCUGGCGGCGUGCUUAACACAUGCAAGUCGAACGGAAAGGCCCUGCUUUUGUGGGUUGCUCGAGUGGCGAACGGGUGAGUAACACGUGAGUAACCUGCCCUUGACUUUGGGAUAACUUCAGGAAACUGGGGCUAAUACCGGAUAGGAGCUCCUGCUGCAUGGUGGGGGUUGGAAAGUUUCGGCGGUUGGGGAUGGACUCGCGGCUUAUGAGCUUGUUGGUGGGGUAGUGGCUUACCAAGGCUUUGACGGGUAGCCGGCCUGAGAGGGUGACCGGCCACAUUGGGACUGCGGUACGGCCCAGACUCCUACGGGAGGCAGCAGUGGGGAAUAUUGCACAAUGGGCGGAAGCCUGAUGCAGCAACGCCGCGUGCGGGAUGACGGCCUUCGGGUUGUAAACCGCUUUCGCCUGUGACGAAGCGUGAGUGACGGUAAUGGGUAAAGAAGCACCGGCUAACUACGUG